AGGAAUUUAAGGACCAACCGGGAUUGCCCUAGUAACGGCGAGUGAAGCGGCAAGAGCUCAAAUUUGAAAGCUGGCCCCCUCGGGGUCCGCAUUGUAAUKGGCAGGSGGAKUGCUUCSGGGGAACGGRSCCCCCAUCUACGUGHACURGAACSGGCCGUCAUAGAAGGGGUGAGAAUCCCGUCUGGGAUGGGGUGGCCGCGCCCGUGUGAAGCUCCUUCGACGAGUCGAGUUGUUUGGGAAUGCAGCUCUAAUUGGGUGGUAAAUUUCAUCUAAAGCUAAAUAUUGGCCGGAGACCGAUAGCGCACAAGUAGAGUGAUCGAAAGAUGAAAAGCACUUUGAAAAGAGAGUUAAACAGCACGUGAAAUUGUUGAAAGGGAAGCGCUUGCGACCAGACUCGCCCGCGGGGUUCAGCCGGCACUCGUGCCGGUGUACUUCCCCGCGGGCGGGCCAGCGUCGGUUUGGGCGGCCGGUCAAAGGCCUCUGGAAGGUAACGCCUCUCGGGGCGUCUUAUAGCCAGGGGUGCCAUGCGGCCUGCCCGGACCGAGGAACGCGCUUCGGCUCGGACGCUGGCAUAAUGGUCGUAAGCGACCCGUCUUGAAACACGGACCAAGGAGUCUAACAUCUACGCGAGUGUUCGGGUGUCAAACCCGUGCGCGCAGUGAAAGCGAACGGAGGUGGGAACCCCCCGGGGUGCACCAUCGACCGAUCCUGAUGUCUUCGGAUGGAUUUGAGUAAGAGCGUAGCUGUUGGGACCCGAAAGAUGGUGAACUAUGCCUGAAUAGGGCGAAGCCAGAGGAAACUCUGGUGGAGGCUCGCAAGCGGUUCUGACGUGCAAAUCGAUCGUCAAAUUUGGGUCCAUAAGGGCGAAAGUGGACUAAUCGAACCAUCUAAGUAGCUGGUCCUCCUGCCGAGGUUUCCCUCAGGAUAGCAGUUACGCGAAUUCAGUUUUAUGAAGGAUAAAAGGCGAAUGAAUUUAAGGAGGCCUUGGGGUUGAAACAACUUUAAUCCUAUUCUCAAACUUUAAAUAUGUAAGAAGCCCCUUGUUAGCUUUAGUUGAAACGUUGGGUAUUAGAAGAUUGAUGCGKUAUUAUAGUC
This 1095-nucleotide ribosomal RNA is filed under the name Penicillium sp. Its description in RNAcentral is "partial large subunit ribosomal RNA". The record is from RNAcentral. Lineage: Eukaryota; Fungi; Ascomycota; Eurotiomycetes; Eurotiales; Aspergillaceae.